Equus caballus (horse) is the source of this 834-nucleotide non-coding RNA. The record is from RefSeq and is a predicted model, not a curated record. Lineage: Eukaryota; Metazoa; Chordata; Mammalia; Perissodactyla; Equidae.
CUGGUGUCCUUAUAAGAAGAGGAGAGGACACAGAGACAUGGAGGGGAGAAGGUCAUUUUAAAUACAGGGGCAGAGGUCAUAGAGUUGCUGCCACAAACCAAGGAGGCAGGAACCGCCAGGAGCUGUAGGAGGUGGCCUCAAAUCCUGUCAGCUGCUCCUGCCCUGUGACCUCACUCAGCUCCGCUUCCCAGAACUCCAGGUCUGGCAGGAAGGGCCUGGGCUGCCGGAAGCGGGAUUUAUACUCGGCUUGUGGCUGAACUGAAAGGGCCUCCCAGGGUGACACUUGCAGCCUUCAGCAAGGAGGAGGAAGAACUACCAAGGAAUUCAUGUGGCCCUUGUCUUACGGUGUUUCAGGGGAUGACGUUCAAAAUGCCAGGAAACAAGCAGGAAAAGGACUUCCAAGGUCAUGGACCAGGAUCCCGGGAGGAGUCCAAUCCAGGAAGGUGACCCCUAGUGCCACAUCUGAGUGACAGUUACGGGGUGACCAGGGCACUGGUUGAUGGUGACAUUUGCUUCCUUUUGUUCUUGGAAACUUCUAACAUCCAGUCAGGAAGGUCCACGAAGAAUCUACUGGAUCCCCCAAUACUCUCAUUGCCAUCUGGGGCAUGUGCCCUGCCAACAAGGCAGCAGUCGUGGUUUCAGUCGGACGGAGAGUUCUGUUGCUGCAAAGCAAAUACUUGAAAAUCUUCAGUUUGGCUCCACCCAGGACCUGACAUUCAGGGACACUGAUUCCUGAAGCAGAAGCCCCCGGCCUAAGUUUCCAGAGAGACUCAGAGUCCGCCAACCAAGUGAUGCUCACAUGAAGAGAGGCCUACCCGCCUGGAAACGUGUACC